Molecule: ribosomal RNA, 648 nt
Filed under: uncultured bacterium
Lineage: Bacteria
Description: bacterial SSU rRNA
Rfam family: Bacterial small subunit ribosomal RNA
Source: RNAcentral
CUGCAGCAAUGCAGAGUGGCAGACGGGUGAGUAACGCGUGGGAACCUUCCCAGUGGUACGGAAUAGCUCAGGGAAACUUGAGGUAAUACCGUAUAAGCCCCUAGGGGGAAAGAUUUAUCGCCAUUGGAUGGGCCCGCGUCGGAUUAGCUAGUUGGUGAGGUAACGGCUCACCAAGGCAACGAUCCGUAGCUGGUUUGAGAGAAUGACCAGCCACACUGGGACUGAGACACGGCCCAGACUCCUACGGGAGGCAGCAGUGGGGAAUCUUGGACAAUGGGCGCAAGCCUGAUCCAGCCAUGCCGCGUGAGUGACGAAGGCCUUAGGGUUGUAAAGCUCUUUUGGCGGGGACGAUAAUGACGGUACCCGCAGAAUAAGUCCCGGCUAACUUCGUGCCAGCAGCCGCGGUAAUACGAAGGGGACUAGCGUUGUUCGGAAUUACUGGGCGUAAAGCGCACGUAGGCGGAUUUGUAAGUCAGGGGUGAAAUCCCGGGGCUCAACCUCGGAACUGCCUUUGAUACUGCAAAUCUCGAGUCCGAUAGAGGUGGGUGGAAUUCCUAGUGUAGAGGUGAAAUUCGUAGAUAUUAGGAAGAACACCGGUGGCGAAGGCGGCCCACUGGAUCGGUACUGACGCUGAGGUGCGAAAGCGUG